RNAcentral lists this ribosomal RNA (373 nucleotides) under uncultured Caldisericum sp. RNAcentral describes it as "bacterial SSU rRNA". It matches the Rfam family "Bacterial small subunit ribosomal RNA", at positions 998 to 1382 of the family's 1533-position model. The record is from RNAcentral. Lineage: Bacteria; Pseudomonadati; Caldisericota; Caldisericia; Caldisericales; Caldisericaceae.
UGACCGCAAGGUCAUGGCUCAUCCACAGGUGCUGCAUGGUUGUCGUCAGCUCGUGCCGUGAGAUGUAGGUUAAGUCCUUGAACGAGCGCAACCCCUUUCGUCAGUUGCAAACCAGCAAUGGCGCACCCUGACGAUACUGCCAGCUAAAAGUUGGAGGAAGGAGGGGAUGACGUCAAAUCCUCAUGGCCUUUAUGGUCCAGGGCUACACACAUGCGACAAUGGUCGGUACAACGGGUUGCAACACCGCGAGGUGAAAGCCAAUCCCUAAAAACCGACCUCAGUUCAGAUUGCAGACUGCAAUUCGUCUACAUGAAGAUGGAGUUGCUAGUAACCGCGGGUCAGCUACACCGCGGUGAAUAUGUUCCCGGGCCUU